CCUACGGGUGGCAGCAGUGGGGAAUAUUGGACAAUGGGGGGAACCCUGAUCCAGCCAUGCCGCGUGUGUGAAGAAGGCCCUCGGGUUGUAAAGCACUUUCAGUGAGGAAGAACGCCUGGUGGUUAAUACCCAUCAGGAAAGACAUCACUCACAGAAGAAGCACCGGCUAACUCCGUGCCAGCAGCCGCGGUAAUACGGAGGGUGCGAGCGUUAAUCGGAAUUACUGGGCGUAAAGCGCGCGUAGGUGGCUUGAUAAGCCGGUUGUGAAAGCCCCGGGCUCAACCUGGGAACGGCAUCCGGAACUGUCAAGCUAGAGUGUAGGAGAGGAAGGUAGAAUUCCCGGUGUAGCGGUGAAAUGCGUAGAGAUCGGGAGGAAUACCAGUGGCGAAGGCGGCCUUCUGGACUGACACUGACACUGAGGUGCGAAAGCGUGGGUAGCAAACAGGAUUAGAUACCCUAGUAGUC
Molecule: ribosomal RNA, 465 nt
Filed under: Vreelandella stevensii
Lineage: Bacteria; Pseudomonadati; Pseudomonadota; Gammaproteobacteria; Oceanospirillales; Halomonadaceae
Description: partial 16S ribosomal RNA
Rfam family: Bacterial small subunit ribosomal RNA
Source: RNAcentral